UACGUAGGGGGCUAGCGUUGUUCGGAAUCAUUGGGCGUAAAGCGCGUGUAGGCGGCUUGGCAAGUCAGUUGUGAAAGCCCGGGGCCCAACCCCGGAAUUGCAUCUGAAACUGCCUGGCUGGAGUCCCGGAGAGGAAGGCAGAAUUCCCGGUGUAGGGGUGAAAUCCGUAGAUAUCGGGAGGAACACCGGUGGCGAAGGCGGCAUUCUGGACCGACAUUGACGCUGAGGAGCGAAAGCCAGGGGAGCAAACGGG
Molecule: ribosomal RNA, 253 nt
Filed under: uncultured bacterium
Lineage: Bacteria
Description: partial 16S ribosomal RNA
Rfam family: Bacterial small subunit ribosomal RNA
Source: RNAcentral